This 531-nucleotide ribosomal RNA is filed under the name Bifidobacterium pseudocatenulatum. RNAcentral describes it as "bacterial SSU rRNA". It matches the Rfam family "Bacterial small subunit ribosomal RNA", at positions 155 to 698 of the family's 1533-position model. Lineage: Bacteria; Bacillati; Actinomycetota; Actinomycetes; Bifidobacteriales; Bifidobacteriaceae. The record is from RNAcentral.
AACGGGUGGUAAUGCCGGAUGCUCCGACUCCUCGCAUGGGGUGUCGGGAAAGAUUUCAUCGGUAUGGGAUGGGGUCGCGUCCUAUCAGGUAGUCGGCGGGGUAACGGCCCACCGAGCCUACGACGGGUAGCCGGCCUGAGAGGGCGACCGGCCACAUUGGGACUGAGAUACGGCCCAGACUCCUACGGGAGGCAGCAGUGGGGAAUAUUGCACAAUGGGCGCAAGCCUGAUGCAGCGACGCCGCGUGCGGGAUGACGGCCUUCGGGUUGUAAACCGCUUUUGAUCGGGAGCAAGCCUUCGGGUGAGUGUACCCUUCGAAUAAGCACCGGCUAACUACGUGCCAGCAGCCGCGGUAAUACGUAGGGUGCAAGCGUUAUCCGGAAUUAUUGGGCGUAAAGGGCUCGUAGGCGGUUCGUCGCGUCCGGUGUGAAAGUCCAUCGCUUAACGGUGGAUCUGCGCCGGGUACGGGCGGGCUGGAGUGCGGUAGGGGAGACUGGAAUUCCCGGUGUAACGGUGGAAUGUGUAGAUAUC